RNAcentral lists this long non-coding RNA (2169 nucleotides) under Citrus sinensis (sweet orange). RNAcentral's name for it is "long non-coding RNA (CSIN_LNC003628)". The record is from RNAcentral. Lineage: Eukaryota; Viridiplantae; Streptophyta; Magnoliopsida; Sapindales; Rutaceae.
AGGAACCCAUUUUCAAACACACUGACAAUGCUUAUCUUCAUUUCUUCUUCUUCUUUUUUCUGAACAUAACUUUAACACCCGCUGAAUUUAGCAAUAGCAGAGGCACACGUACAUACACUUAGCUAACAAGUCAUUUGCUCAACUAUGCUUCCAUCUGAAUUUCGGCGACGACCGGCAUCUGAACAGCCGGCGAUUGAAGAGAGUAACAGGUGUGUAUUUCUAUGAAAGUUUAAAACUGAAGUUGGGUUUUAUUAUAUUCUUGGAUUUUGUUAAAUUGUUGCUAGUUAGACACUUCGUAUUUUUUAUAUAGUUAAUUAAACUAUAUAACUCAAGAAAUCAAACAGUGAACUUGCACAAUAUCCUCUGCUUUCUUGACUGCUUGAUCCAAUUGAUUGUUGUGAACUUGCUGAAGCCAUGACAAGUAUGAGAGUUGAGAUGCUUUGCAAACGAAGAAUAUUGUGCAAAUAAAGAAUAAAAUUAUGCCAAUUUAAAUAGAGUAAAGCAGCACUGAUAUUACCGUUGGUUACCAACGGUAAUAUCAGUGUUGCUUUUAUAUUAAUUACUUUAAAAUAUUUUAAUCUAUUUGUCUUAUUACUACCUAAUUGUUACUGUUAAAAUACUUGGUUUAAAGGGCAUUUCAAUCUUUUUAACACCUAAUUCAGUUUUGUUUUAUAUAUGAUUGCGUAAUGUUAAAAAAUAAAUUCAUAAGGGUAUAAUAGCCUUUCCAAUACUCUUUUCCAUUUGGGGCCAAAAAGCAAGAUUUCUACAGUAUCAAAUUAUCUUGUCAUUCCUUGAAAUGUGUUGUUAAGGGCAUUUUUGAAUAUUCCCUUAACUGCCUAACGGAUGUAUAACUCUUAUAAACGGCCAGGGAUGUUGUCAAUAUAUGCAUAUAUUCUCUCUAGGUGUAUCAGAGGCAAACCUCAGGGGUGAUUUUUAAAAAUUACCCUAUUUUAUAACAAUCAACAACCAAUCUGUCAAUUAACCCAUGCCUUUACUCAUUCUUGACUUUGGGAAAGCAGAGAAUUCACCAAAUACCAAGAUGAUCAAUAUAACUUGUCAAUAACCGCAUUUACUUGAGCAUCAAAAUAGGUUUAGAUUAUGACAGCUUAAAUCACAACUAUUUAUACCUAUGAAUCACAAGAGAUUUUCCUGACGAACAAGAUGAUCAAAUAGAACUUUACAAACAUAUAGAAGGUACAUGCAGCAAAACCAAGCUCAGCCCAGAAUCAUAAAUCUAGCCAAAAAAGAAAAAAAAUCAUAUCCUUUGAAAACAAUCACUGCUACGUCUUCAAAUAAACUUAAUAAAAGAACCCAGAAGUAGAAUAACAAAUAAAACAAAAAGAGACAUAGUAAAGAAGAAACACUCACCAAGAGGAAGUGAUAGUAAACUCAACUGGGUCUGGCUCUGUUAGCUCUGGUGUGAGCUCUGGCUGAUGCAGAUGAUGAAAGCUUGUUUCUUGACUCAAUUGCCAUUUCUUGCUAUUAUUAUAGUAGUAGUCUUCAACUUAUGCUGUUGUACAAGACAUUUGAAAAGCCUCCCCGAGUAAAUGUGGUUCACAAACAAAAAACGUGAUGGUGCCAAACGAUAUUUUUUAGGAACAAACAAACCAGCGUGAAGAAUGUUGAAAAGUCAAAAUUGGUGAUUUAUUUAUUUAAAUUAAUUGAAAAAGAAGAGAUGGGCCACAUGCAUAAUUAGGGGUGGGCAUCUUAAUCUGAUCCGAUCCGAACUAAUUCGGAUCGGAUUCAGAUUUGAAGACAAAUCCGAUUGGAUGAAAUUUGUACGAUCCGAUUGGAUUUAGUUCGAAUCGGAUCGGAUUUAGAUAAAUUCGAAUCAUCCGAUCAGAUUUACACUGUAAACUAAAAAAAAAAAAAUUAAAAAACUAAGCUAAAUGACUAAAUAUUUUUGGAUGAUAAUUUUUAUUUUGGUUUAUUUUAUUGUUGAAUGAUAUAAUGAUAAUAUUUAUUUUGUGAUUUUGUGUUGUUUAUUUAUUUGGAGACUUUGAGUAAUGUUUGAUUGUUUAUUUUGUGUUGUUUGUUUGGAGACUUGGAGUUGGAGCAAAGUUUAUUUUGUGUUAUUCAUUUGGACUUUGGAGAGUUGGAGCAAUGUUUAUUUUGUGUUGCUUAUUUGGAGGCUUGGACUUGGAGUAAUGUUUAUGCACCUAGCUUGCA